Molecule: ribosomal RNA, 330 nt
Filed under: uncultured Alphaproteobacteria bacterium
Lineage: Bacteria; Pseudomonadati; Pseudomonadota; Alphaproteobacteria
Description: bacterial SSU rRNA
Rfam family: Bacterial small subunit ribosomal RNA
Source: RNAcentral
UUCGGGCUUAGUGGCGCACGGGUGCGUAACGCGUGGGGAACCUGCCUUUAGGUUCGGAAUAACAGUUGGAAACGACUGCUAAUACCGGAUAAUGUCUUCGGACCAAAGAUUUAUCGCCUUUAGAUGGGCCCGCGUUGGAUUAGCUAGUUGGCAGGGUAAAAGCCUACCAAGGCGACGAUCCAUAGCUGGUCUGAGAGGAUGAUCAGCCACACUGGGACUGAGACACGGCCCAGACUCCUACGGGAGGCAGCAGUGGGGAAUAUUGGACAAUGGGCGAAAGCCUGAUCCAGCAAUGCCGCGUGAGUGAUGAAGGCCUUAGGGUUGUAAAGC